RNAcentral lists this long non-coding RNA (535 nucleotides) under Ananas comosus (pineapple). RNAcentral's name for it is "long non-coding RNA (ACOM_LNC000357)". The record is from RNAcentral. Lineage: Eukaryota; Viridiplantae; Streptophyta; Magnoliopsida; Poales; Bromeliaceae.
ACAAAUAAAAAAAUAUAGAUGGGUUCCCACUAAGGGCAUGUUUGGUUCGUACAUUUUGAAUCCGAAAUGGAAAUCGGUUUGAUCACAUCCUGCUAAUUUUGUUUGGUUCACAGGAAUCGAUUUGGGACUCCCAUUCCGGAUCGGAAUGAGAAUGGUCCAUUAGCUUACAAAUUGAUUCUGAUCUACAAAUUGAUUUCGGUCUCCAAGUCCGGAUUGAAGUUUCAAUCCUAAGCCCACACUCACCUCUUCCACAGCCUAGUCCAACAUUUCUCCAUCUUAUCCAUUCUUUUUCUUUCUAUGCCGAUCUCUUCUUUCUUUUCUCAUCAUUAAAAAAAAAGGGCAUUUUUUUUGUAAUUUCUUGCAUAAAAAUUUUUUAAAUAAAUUCAAUUUUUUUGGCAUAGCGCUAACUUGAGAGUAGUAUUAAUUUUUUUUUAAAAGUAAAAUUAGUAUUAUGUUAUUCUAUUAUUUUUUUACUUUGUAUCAACCAAACAGUGAAAUAGGAAUAAUUCAUUUCGAUUUCCAAUCCAGAAAUGAA